AAGUCGUAACAAGGUUCCGGUAGGUGAACCUGCGGAAAGAUCAUUAACACGUAUCCAAACGUUAAAACCCCCCCCCGUGAACAUUGAUUUCUGCUCUUGCAACCCGCGAAGCUUGCAAUCUCAGUUUUGAUUCAGAGACCUCUGGCCCGUGCGAAAAUUGGAACAGUUACAAUUCGAGCGGUAGUUCUAUAGGCCUUGUUUCCCCAAGCAGUCAGUGUCUGAAAGUGUCAGUGAUUGUGCAAGGAUAACGCUUCACGAUUCUUGUAGACCGCAUCUCGCGGGCAGGAGCUAGGCCAAAGGGUCCCCAUGCCCCCUUACAACCCCACAGUUAAAUGUGAAGCUCAAUGUAAUACAUUGGGUAAAAAACCGAACAACUGUUAACAAUGGAUAUCUUGGUUCUC
RNAcentral lists this unclassified non-coding RNA (401 nucleotides) under fungal sp. RNAcentral's name for it is "partial internal transcribed spacer region". The record is from RNAcentral. Lineage: Eukaryota; Fungi.